GAUGAACGCUGGCGGCGUGCCUAAUACAUGCAAGUCGAGCGAACAGACGAGGAGCUUGCUCCUCUGACGUUAGCGGCGGACGGGUGAGUAACACGUGGAUAACCUACCUAUAAGACUGGGAUAACUUCGGGAAACCGGAGCUAAUACCGGAUAAUAUAUUGAACCGCAUGGUUCAAUAGUGAAAGACGGUUUUGCUGUCACUUAUAGAUGGAUCCGCGCCGCAUUAGCUAGUUGGUAAGGUAACGGCUUACCAAGGCAACGAUGCGUAGCCGACCUGAGAGGGUGAGCGGCCACACUGGAACUGAGACACGGUCCAGACUCCUACGGGAGGCAGCAGUAGGGAAUCUUCCGCAAUGGGCGAAAGCCUGACGGAGCAACGCCGCGUGAGUGAUGAAGGUCUUCGGAUCGUAAAACGCUGUUAUUAGGGAAGAACAAAUGUGUAAGUAACUAUGCACGUCUUGACGGUACCUAAUCAGAAGCCACGGCUAACUACGUG
Molecule: ribosomal RNA, 496 nt
Filed under: uncultured bacterium
Lineage: Bacteria
Description: partial 16S ribosomal RNA
Rfam family: Bacterial small subunit ribosomal RNA
Source: RNAcentral